GAAGAAGAGAGGUUGUUAGAUCAUUUGCCAAAAACUUACACAAAGGGUGGUCUCAAAACCAUGCCAUUCAUCAUAGUGAAUGAAACAUUGGAGAAAGUGGCAAGUUAUGGGUUGCAGCCAAAUAUGGUGAUAUAUUUGAUGAAAGUUUAUAAUUUAGAAAUCGCAACAGCUACAAGUUUACUGAGUUUAUGGUCUGCUCUUUCCCAUGGAUUGGCCCUUUUGGGUGCCUUUGUUUCUGAUUCAUUCUUGGGUCGCUUCACUGUUGUUGCUAUUGGAUCUAUCUCAAGCCUUUUUGGAAUGACUAUUCUUUGGUUAACCACUAUGGUUCCACAGCUGAGGCCUUCAAGUUGUGAUCAUUUUGAUAUCAAUGAAUGUGAUAGACCAACACCAGCACAACUCCUUGUAUUAUUGUUUUCUUUUGGGAUAAUUGCUCUAGGAGCUGGUUUCGUUAGACCUUGUUCUAUAGCGUUUGGUGCUGAUCAAU
This 484-nucleotide unclassified non-coding RNA is filed under the name Hevea brasiliensis (rubber tree). The record is from RNAcentral. Lineage: Eukaryota; Viridiplantae; Streptophyta; Magnoliopsida; Malpighiales; Euphorbiaceae.